RNAcentral lists this ribosomal RNA (924 nucleotides) under Triticum aestivum (bread wheat). RNAcentral's name for it is "partial small subunit ribosomal RNA". Lineage: Eukaryota; Viridiplantae; Streptophyta; Magnoliopsida; Poales; Poaceae. The record is from RNAcentral.
AUGGCUACUGGGAGGGGCAUUAGCCAGCUUCUGAAGAAAGUAUUUCGCCAGCACCCAUCUGGUUCAUCUCUUCUUUCUUCAACCCGGAUAUAUCAUGGAGAAGGAAUCACUGGCUUCACUGGACUGAAAGCAUUGGCUAUUCUUGGAGUUGGUGCUUCUGGCCUUUUAAGCUUUGGUACAAUAGCGUCAGCUGAUGAAGCAGAGCAUGGGCUCGAAUCUCCGAGCUAUCCCUGGCCACAUGAAGGCAUUCUUAGUUCUUAUGAUCACGCAUCAAUAAGGCGUGGACACCAAGUUUAUCAGCAAGUGUGUGCCUCCUGCCACUCGAUGUCUCUGAUCUCGUACCGAGACCUGGUGGGUGUUGCCUACACAGAGGAGGAAACAAAAGCAAUGGCUGCUGAGAUUGAGGUGGUUGAUGGGCCCAACGAUGAAGGCGAAAUGUUCACGCGCCCGGGUAAGCUGAGUGACCGUCUCCCACAACCAUAUGCGAAUGAGCAAGCAGCUCGAUUUUCAAAUGGUGGAGCAUACCCUCCAGACCUCAGCUUGAUCACAAAGGCCAGGCACAAUGGCCAGAACUAUGUUUUUUCUCUCCUUACUGGUUACCGUGAUCCACCUGCUGGCGUCUCGAUUCGUGAAGGCUUGCAUUACAAUCCCUACUUUCCUGGUGGCGCCAUAGCCAUGCCCAAGAUGCUUAGUGAUGGAGCUGUCGAGUAUGAAGACGGUACUCCUGCAACGGAAGCUCAGAUGGGUAAAGAUGUUGUCUCAUUCUUGUCAUGGGCAGCUGAGCCUGAGAUGGAAGAGAGAAAGCUGAUGGGAGUCAAAUGGAUCUUCCUACUCUCGCUCGCGCUUAUGCAAGCCGCGUAUUACCGGCGCAUGAAGUGGUCAGUCUACAAGUCCCGCAAGCUGGUCCUUGAUGUGGUCAAUUGA